RNAcentral lists this non-coding RNA (45 nucleotides) under Schistosoma mansoni. The record is from RNAcentral. Lineage: Eukaryota; Metazoa; Platyhelminthes; Trematoda; Strigeidida; Schistosomatidae.
AUCUAGCUGACUAGUCCAAAAUAGGAUGAAAUGCUCGUCCUGGAU